AAAAAAUUAGUUAUAUAUAUAAUAUCAAUUUGUCAUAUUGAAGUAAUCAACUAAUGAUAUUUUUUU
Molecule: transfer RNA, 66 nt
Filed under: Margattea concava
Lineage: Eukaryota; Metazoa; Arthropoda; Insecta; Blattodea; Pseudophyllodromiidae
Description: tRNA-Asp
Source: RNAcentral